RNAcentral lists this ribosomal RNA (192 nucleotides) under Aeromonas salmonicida subsp. salmonicida. Its description in RNAcentral is "partial 16S ribosomal RNA". It matches the Rfam family "Bacterial small subunit ribosomal RNA", at positions 1 to 180 of the family's 1533-position model. Lineage: Bacteria; Pseudomonadati; Pseudomonadota; Gammaproteobacteria; Aeromonadales; Aeromonadaceae. The record is from RNAcentral.
ACUUAAAUUGAAGAGUUUGAUCAUGGCUCAGAUUGAACGCUGGCGGCAGGCCUAACACAUGCAAGUCGAGCGGCAGCGGGAAAGUAGCUUGCUACUUUUGCCGGCGAGCGGCGGACGGGUGAGUAAUGCCUGGGGAUCUGCCCAGUCGAGGGGGAUAACAGUUGGAAACGACUGCUAAUACCGCAUACGCCU